GCGCCCGUAGCUCAGUGGAUAGAGCAACCGCCUUCUAAGCGGUCGGUCGGACGUUCGAGUCGUCUCGGGCGCG
RNAcentral lists this transfer RNA (73 nucleotides) under Candidatus Melainabacteria bacterium. RNAcentral describes it as "tRNA-Arg". It matches the Rfam family "tRNA". From Rfam's summary of the family: Transfer RNA (tRNA) molecules are approximately 80 nucleotides in length. Their secondary structure includes four short double-helical elements and three loops (D, anti-codon, and T loops). The record is from RNAcentral. Lineage: Bacteria; Bacillati; Candidatus Melainabacteria.